CCUACGGGAGGCAGCAGUGAGGAAUAUUGGUCAAUGGACGCAAGUCUGAACCAGCCAUGCCGCGUGCAGGAAGACGGUCCUAUGAGUUGUAAACUGCUUUUGUACGAGGGUAAACGCAGAUACGCGUAUCUGUCUGAAAGUAUCGUACGAAUAAGGAUCGGCUAACUACGUGCCAGCAGCCGCGGGAAUACGGAGGAUUCAAGCGUUAUCCGGUUUUAUUGGGUUUAAAGGGUGGGGUGGCGGUCGGAUAAGUUAGGGGGGAAAUGCCGGGGGUCAAAGCCGGAAAUGCGUCGGAUACUGGAGGGCUAGAGAGUAGGUGAGGUAGGCGGAAGGUAAGGUGGAGCGGUGAAAUGCAUAGAGAU
RNAcentral lists this ribosomal RNA (362 nucleotides) under uncultured bacterium. RNAcentral describes it as "partial 16S ribosomal RNA". It matches the Rfam family "Bacterial small subunit ribosomal RNA", at positions 338 to 697 of the family's 1533-position model. The record is from RNAcentral.